GAUGAACGCUGGCGGCGUGCCUAAUACAUGCAAGUCGAGCGAACAGAUGAGGAGCUUGCUCCUCUGACGUUAGCGGCGGAAGGGUGAGUAACACGUGGAUAACCUACCUAUAAGACUGGGAUAAGUUCGGGAAACCGGAGCUAAUACCGGAUAAUAUAUUGAACCGCAUGGUUCAAUAGUGAAAGACGGUUUUGCUGUCACUUAUAGAUGGAUCCGCGCCGCAUUAGCUAGUUGGUAAGGUAACGGCUUACCAAGGCAACGAUGCGUAGCCGACCUGAGAGUGUGAUUGGCCUCAGCUCAUCUUGAACACCGUCUCCAGCCCUAAGGAUGCCAGCAGUAGGGGCACUUCCGCAAUGAGCGAAACCCUGACGGAGCAACGCCACGUGAGUGAUGAGGGUCUCACGAUCGUAAAACUCUGUUUUUAGGGAAGACCAACUGUCUAAGUAACUAUGAUCGUCUUGACGGUACCUAAUCAGAAAGCUACGGCUAACUACGUG
RNAcentral lists this ribosomal RNA (497 nucleotides) under uncultured bacterium. RNAcentral's name for it is "partial 16S ribosomal RNA". It matches the Rfam family "Bacterial small subunit ribosomal RNA", at positions 28 to 507 of the family's 1533-position model. The record is from RNAcentral.